AUUGAACGCUGGCGGCAGGCUUAACACAUGCAAGUCGAGCGGGGGAAGGUAGCUUGCUACCGGACCUAGCGGCGGACGGGUGAGUAAUGCUUAGGAAUCUGCCUAUUAGUGGGGGACAACAUCUCGAAAGGGAUGCUAAUACCGCGUACGUCCUACGGGAGAAAGCAGGGGAUCUUCGGACCUUGCGCUAAUAGAUGAGCCUAAGUCGGAUUAGCUAGUUGGUGGGGUAAAGGCCUACCAAGGCGACGAUCUGUAGCGGGUCUGAGAGGAUGAUCCGCCACACUGGGACUGAGACACGGCCCAGACUCCUACGGGAGGCAGCGGUGGGGAAUAUUGGACAAUGGGGGGAACCCUGAUCCAGCCAUGCCGCGUGUGUGAAGAAGGCCUUAUGGUUGUAAAGCACUUUAAGCGAGGAGGAGGCUACUCUAGUUAAUACCUAGGGAUAGUGGACGUUACUCGCAGAAUAAGCACCGGCUAACUCUGUGCCAGCAGCCGCGGUAA
Molecule: ribosomal RNA, 501 nt
Filed under: uncultured bacterium
Lineage: Bacteria
Description: partial 16S ribosomal RNA
Rfam family: Bacterial small subunit ribosomal RNA
Source: RNAcentral